GACGGGGGGGGCAAGUGUUCUUCGGAAUGACUGGGCGUAAAGCGCACGCAGGCGGUUGAUUGAGUCAGAUGUGAAAUCCCCGGGCUUAACCCGGGAAUUGCAUCUGAUACUGGUCAGCUAGAGUCUUGUAGGGGGGGGUAGAAUUCCAUGUGUAGCGGUGAAAUGCGUAGAGAUGUGGAGGAAUACCGGUGGCGAAGGCGGCCCCCUGGACAAAGACUGACGCUCAGGUGCGAAAGCGUGGGGAGCAAACAGG
This 253-nucleotide ribosomal RNA is filed under the name uncultured bacterium. RNAcentral describes it as "partial 16S ribosomal RNA". It matches the Rfam family "Bacterial small subunit ribosomal RNA", at positions 524 to 776 of the family's 1533-position model. The record is from RNAcentral.